Long non-coding RNA from Peromyscus eremicus (cactus mouse), 518 nucleotides. RefSeq lists it as uncharacterized. The record is from RefSeq and is a predicted model, not a curated record. NCBI's taxonomy places the organism in Eukaryota, Metazoa, Chordata, Mammalia, Rodentia, Cricetidae. The transcript has 3 exons.
GAGUCCUUUGGGGGAAUCAGUCGCCUUGAUUCUCUAAAUAGUUUUUAUCUCAGUGUAGGUGGAGUUGGGCUCACAAGGCUUAUUCAGGUCAGAUGGCUUUGAAAAGCAUUAGUGACCUGAGGAAGGGUUCAGCAGUUUGCUGUUUUGGCCCAAACCUACUUUUCCACAGGGAAAGGAGACAAAAUGUUACAGCCUUCUGAUUACAUACUUGGUCUUUGGUUGGACAGCCUCCAUACUCAAGCUGUCGAGGAGUCGCCACAUUCUUACAACAGUAUUCCCAUCUUUAAGGAAAUUUCAAGCAGUUUGAAACUCCUUGUCAUAAGCUCAAGAGAGUGGGGAGAGCACACUUGUGCCAUGGUGCAUUCAUGAAGGCCAGAAUACCUGCAAGAGUCUCUUGUUCUACCAUGGGUGUUUCAGUGAUUGAACCCAGAUCUUCAGGCUUAGCAGUAAGGGACUUUAUCCAAUGAGCCAUCUGACUGACCUUGCCCAAAUGUUUGUGUAUUGUUUUCGAUCUACUG